RNAcentral lists this ribosomal RNA (941 nucleotides) under Ustilago filiformis. RNAcentral describes it as "LSU rRNA". It matches the Rfam family "Eukaryotic large subunit ribosomal RNA", at positions 38 to 960 of the family's 3401-position model. The record is from RNAcentral. Lineage: Eukaryota; Fungi; Basidiomycota; Ustilaginomycetes; Ustilaginales; Ustilaginaceae.
GCAUAUCAAUAAGCGGAGGAAAAGAAACUAACAAGGAUUCCCCUAGUAACGGCGAGUGAAGAGGGAAGAGCCCAAGAUUGAAAGCUGGCGUCUUCGGCGUCCGCAUUGUAAUCUCAAGAAGUGUUUUCCGCUUCGGACCAUGCCUAAGUCCCUUGGAAAAGGGCAUCAUAGAGGGUGAUAAUCCCGUACAUGGCAUGGAGCGCCCGAAGCUUUGUGAUACGCUUUCUAAGAGUCGAGUUGUUUGGGAAUGCAGCUCAAAAUGGGUGGUAAAUGCCAUCUAAGGCUAAAUAUUGGGGAGAGACCGAUAGCGAACAAGUACAGUGAUGGAAAGAUGAAAAGAACUUUGAAAAGAGAGUUAAACAGUACGUGAAAUUGCCAAAAGGGAAGGGUAGGAGGUCAGAGAUGCGGCCURGGAUUCAGCCUUGCUUUUGCUKGGUGUUUUUCCUAGGUUGCAGGCCAACGUYGGUUUUGGGCMCUGGAGAAGGGUGGAAGGAAUGUGGCACCUYUCGGGGUGUGUUAUAGCCUUCUACUGGAUACAGCGACCGAGACCGAGGACAGCAGCGUACUCGCAAGAGCGGGCCUUYGGGCMCCUUUACGCUUAGGGCGUUGGCAUAAUGGCCCUCUACCMCCCGUCUUGAAACACGGACCAAGGAGUYUAACAWGUAUGCGAGUCUUUGGGKGGCAAACCCAUAGGCGCAAUGAAAGUGAAUUCAGGUGGGAUCCGCAAGGUGCACCAUCGACCGAUCCUCACGUYUUUUUAAGUCGUGGAUUUGAGUAAGAGCAUACCUGUUGGGACCCGAAAGAUGGUGAACUAUGCCUGAAUAGGGUGAAGCCAGAGGAAACUCUGGUGGAGGCUCGUAGCGGUUCUGACGUGCAAAUCGAUCGUCAAAUUUGGGUAUAGGGGCGAAAGACUAAUCGAACCAUCUAGUAGCUGGUCUGCG